GAGUUUGAUCAUGGCUCAGAACGAACGCUGGCGGCAGGCCUAACACAUGCAAGUCGAGCGAACCUUCGGGUUAGCGGCGGACGGGUUAGUAACGCGUGGGAACGUGCCUCUCUCUACGGAAUAGUCCCGGGAAACUGGGUUUAAUACCGUAUACGCCCUUUGGGGGAAAGAUUUAUCGGAGAGAGAUCGGCCCGCGUUGGAUUAGGUAGUUGGUGGGGUAAUGGCCUACCAAGCCGACGAUCCAUAGCUGGUUUGAGAGGAUGAUCAGCAACACUGGGACUGAGACACGGCCCAGACUCCUACGGGAGGCAGCAGUGAGGAAUCUUAGACAAUGGGGGAAACCCUGAUCUAGCCAUGCCGCGUGGACGAUGAAGGCCUUAGGGUUGUAAAGUCCUUUCGCUGGGGAAGAUAAUGACGGUACCCAGUAAAGAAGCCCCGGCUAACUCCGUGCCAGCAGCCGCCGUAAG
RNAcentral lists this ribosomal RNA (467 nucleotides) under uncultured Alphaproteobacteria bacterium. RNAcentral describes it as "bacterial SSU rRNA". It matches the Rfam family "Bacterial small subunit ribosomal RNA", at positions 9 to 524 of the family's 1533-position model. The record is from RNAcentral. Lineage: Bacteria; Pseudomonadati; Pseudomonadota; Alphaproteobacteria.